UCGAAAUCGGGUAGACGCUACGGACUGAAAAUCCGUUGGCUUUUUAGACCGUGAGGGUUCAAGUCCCUCUACCCCCA
This 77-nucleotide transfer RNA is filed under the name Solenostoma patoniae. RNAcentral describes it as "partial tRNA-Leu". It matches the Rfam family "tRNA", at positions 10 to 71 of the family's 71-position model. From Rfam's summary of the family: Transfer RNA (tRNA) molecules are approximately 80 nucleotides in length. Their secondary structure includes four short double-helical elements and three loops (D, anti-codon, and T loops). Further hydrogen bonds mediate the characteristic L-shaped molecular structure. tRNAs have two regions of fundamental functional importance: the anti-codon, which is responsible for specific mRNA codon recognition, and the 3' end, to which the tRNAs corresponding amino acid is attached (by aminoacyl-tRNA synthetases). tRNAs cope with the degeneracy of the genetic code in two manners: having more than one tRNA (with a specific anti-codon) for a particular amino acid; and 'wobble' base-pairing, i.e. permitting non-standard base-pairing at the 3rd anti-codon position. RNAcentral also lists the same sequence under 2 other names. Lineage: Eukaryota; Viridiplantae; Streptophyta; Jungermanniopsida; Jungermanniales; Solenostomataceae. The record is from RNAcentral.